AGCGAACGCUGGCGGCAGGCCUAACACAUGCAAGUCGAACGGAUCCUUCGGGAUUAGUGGCGGACGGGUGAGUAACACGUGGGAACGUGCCCUUUGGUUCGGAACAACUCAGGGAAACUUGAGCUAAUACCGGAUGUGCCCUUCGGGGGAAAGAUUUAUCGCCAUUGGAGCGGCCCGCGUCUGAUUAGCUAGUUGGUGAGGUAACGGCCCACCAAGGCGACGAUCAGUAGCUGGUCUGAGAGGAUGAUCAGCCACAUUGGGACUGAGACACGGCCCAGACUCCUACGGGAGGCAGCAGUGGGGAAUCUUGCGCAAUGGGCGAAAGCCUGACGCAGCCAUGCCGCGUGAAUGAUGAAGGUCUUAGGAUUGUAAAAUUCUUUCAGCGGGGACGAUAAUGACGGUACCCGCAGAAGAAGCGCCGGCUAACUUCGUG
RNAcentral lists this ribosomal RNA (433 nucleotides) under uncultured bacterium. RNAcentral's name for it is "partial 16S ribosomal RNA". It matches the Rfam family "Bacterial small subunit ribosomal RNA", at positions 29 to 507 of the family's 1533-position model. The record is from RNAcentral.